UCCGCACCUGGCAAACCUCGAAAAGUAGGUAAUGGCGCGACACUAGUUGUGAACAGAAAUUAACCCCCCUUAGUGAAGAGGCUAAUUCUAAUCACAAGAUCCUAAUUAUAGUCCAACCUUGGAAUUUUAUAACUUAUGUUGAUUUCCUAGUUAAUUGCUUAAUUCAUUAAUCUAAUUUCUAUCUUUAUCCUUAUGUUUAUCUUGAUUUUUUUAUUUAUUUUUAUUUUUAUUUUUAUUUUUUUUGUAGUUUUUUUUACUUAAAUCCUUCACCAUUCUUGAACCCUGGAAUUACCCAAUUGUGUCGCUUAAUUAUCAUUUAAUUAUUAUUUAAAUAUUUUUUAGUUUAUUUUAUUUAUUAUUUUUUUUUAAAUUCAUUUUUUUUUUAUUUUUAUUUUAUUUUAUUUUUAUUUUUAUUUUAUUAUUAUUAUUAUUUUUUUUUAUUUUAAUUUUUGGAUUAACCUUCCAACUUCAGUUGACUAUAUCCUUGCGAGUUUACGUCCGAAUUUAAAGUUUUUUACGUCUAAUGUUAUUAAAUUCAAUAAUCAACUUGAUGGGACAGCAUGCCUUCACUUCAUGCCUCAUGUUCAAUGUCAACUAGACUGUGAGCACUCAACUUCCAAGGAGGAUACAUUCAGAUUCAAGACCAUACAACUACCAAGAUUGCAUGGAAUUCAUGACUUGUCACGCAAGGGGAGAUCCAAGGAUUUUGACCUAAUCCUAAGCAAUUUGGCCAGCGCUUCCGCGUCAAUCGGAAAUUCCGGUUCUGGCACUACAACUCCUAGCAGCUCAACUGUGCAUCACCAACCAUCAUCAAUUGAAGGGAAAAGAGGAAGGAAGUUGGUAACCUCCUUAGCUACCAAGGUCAUGAUUCUGGUUGUGGCUGCAACCCUCCUCGCACUAGUCGCCUCCGCUCUCUCCACCCCUACCCCGCUGCUGCUUGUUUUCCUCAGGCGUCUACACAGGCCUUGCUGACGGCCUCACGGUGGCCUUCUCUCUUCUUUUCUUUAUUUUUCUUCCACCUCAAUUAUUGGGUUGCUCCUCCAACUUAUGACUUGCGGUUCUUUUGUCUAUUUAUUUAUUUAUUUAUUUAUUUCCUCAUGGCCUUUGGAAUAGUCAAGGACCUUAAGAAAUCAAUUACUUCUUAUCCAUUAGAUAUAACCAUGAAUUGUUCGGAAUUUAUCUAAUCAAGGGCCCCUAAGGAAUUUACAAAUUCCGAGAGUUGAUUUAGGUUUUAAAUUCGUUAAUUGUAAGACAAUUAGAUGGGUCAUAAUUUUAGUGUCGCGACAAAAUUUGUUAUUGUGGUCAUAGGCCGAUUUCAUGUGGUUGCUUUUACUAAACCCUUCUUAAUAUUUAAGUUUUUCCUUCACUGUGUUGAAAACACAUGAUGGAUUCGGGGUUUUGAUGGUGAAAAUAAGUCUCCACCCUUUUGAAUUAGGUUGUAUUCCGUUAGAUUCUUAAUUUAUGAUUUUUUCCUUGCUCCUAACUUGUGAGAACUCGUUCUAAACAUAAUUUAAACCCCUUAGUCACAAUUUAUUGGCUUGUAACUAUCCUAAUCACUCUCCUCGGUGCUAACUAAUCCUAAUUGGUGGUUUUUUUCACUCAAGUUACUAUGCGAGCCAAUUCUUUGGCUCACAUAUAUGGCGAUCAUGUAGGACAACUCGAAGAGGUAGAGAACUCAGUGCCAUGGCCCUAUCAAAUUUAUUGGGCACACGGUUUUUUUUUUUUUUUUUUUUUUUUUUGAGCCUACUUGUGGGGAAUUCUCCGCAUGAGUGUAUUCCAAUUAAAAGACAAGGUGCUCUAAUUGUAACAUUACUUCAUGCUAAGAAUUAGAUUUCGAAAAUCUUCCUAAUAAAGAUUUUAAGGAAUGGAUACUCAAUUUUCCCAUCACUUCACGUUUUGUAUUCCUUCAAUCUAUUGCCUGACGUACGGGUAGGAAAUAAUUCUCCAUUCAAUGUCUCCAAUUGCACUGAAUUGUUUGGAAAAACGUCGUGCAUCAAAUAUGGACCUAGCCAUAAAGCGUCAAAUUUUCCUGGGAAGUCUAACCGUCUAGCAUCUUGGAGGAGUAUUAGCAUGCCUGGUUGGAGAAUACGAACCUUGUGGCGUUUAUCAAAAGCCACUUUCUUUCGUCGUUGAAUAGCCUCAACGUGUUGGGUGCUAAUCAUUCUAGCCUCAUCUAAGGCUUCCAAUCGCUCUAAUCGCUCUUUUAGUGAUUGAUUAGUGGACAUGUGGGCAUUCAUAGCAAUGCGAAGGGAUGGGACCUCAAACUCAAUGGGCAAAAUUGAUUCUACCCCGUAAACUAGAGAGAAUGGCAUCGCUCUAGUGGUCACUUUGUAUGUAGUUCGGUAAGCCCAUAGUGCAGCCACAAGCUUUUUGUCCUAGUCCUUCUUAGAGUCCAAGACGGUUUUCCUCAAGACGUUAACCAACGUUUGGUUCACGCGUUCGGUAUGGCCAUUAGUUUGGGGAUGGUAGGAUGUGGUUUUGCGGUGAUCAAUCUGGAACCGUUGUGUUAACUUCUCAAUCAUCUCGUUCAAAAAAUGUCUUUUGCUAUCGCUAAUGAGGACCUUGGGACACCCAAACCUAGCGAUGAUAUGCUCAAAUAAAAAAUUGGCUGCACUUGAGGCAUCAUUGGUUUUAACUGCCUUGACCUCUGCCCAUUUGGUUAAAUACUCCGUGGCCACGACGAUAUGUUUCAUGCCGCUAGAGGAAGAAGGAUGGAUCUCUCCAAUGAAAUCAAUACCCCAUUUCUCAAAGGAAACUAAAGGUAAUAUUGGGUUCAAGGGAAGUGACAUAUGCAAGUCAUUUCUCGCAUAUCGUUGACAGGCAUCACAUUUUUUGGCAUGGGCAUGGGCAUCUCGAAAUAACUCAGGCCAAUAGUAUCCAGCUCUCAAAAUCUUUUGCCCCGUAAGUUGCCCUGAGAAGUGUCCUCCGCAAGCACUAUCGUGACAGGCUACUAGGAUAGCAAGAAUUUCAGAAGCAUUGACACAUCUUCUCAAAAUGCCAUCGAUACCACGACGGUAGAGGCUACCACCUAACAACGCAAAAUGCCUACUAUUAACCCGAAUCUUCCUUCUCUCAUUCUUUGAUAAAUCUAGUGACAGUUAUUGAGUUGCAAGGAACUCCGAAAUGUGGUUAUACCACAAUGGGCUUGCAGAGAUGAUGAACAAGUUUUCCAUUGGAAUUUCAUCGUUAAUUGGUUCGGCAUCCAACUCUGUAGAGAGUCUAGACAAGUGAUCUGCCUGCUUGUGCAUUCUGCCUGAUUUACAUUGCACCGUGUAGUCAAAUUCUUUGAGGAGAAGAACCCAUCGAGCAAGUCUCCCACUCAACUCUAGUUUGUUCACUAAAUACUUGAUGGCCAUGUGGUCUACAAAGAAUACUACGGGGUUAAGCAACAAAUAAUGGCGAUACUUCUUUACUGAGAAGACCAUUGCCAAGCACUCUUGCUUCGUAGUAGUAUAAUUUCGCUCGCCGAUGCUUAAUUGCUUGCUAGCAAAUGCCACUGGAAGAUCCUUGCCAUCAGGUCCAAUGGGCUGACACAAUGUACUACCUACUGCCACUCCAGAAGCGUCACAGUAGACAUCGAAGGGAACAUUCCAAUCUGGUGCUCUAACCACUGAAUAAGUGCUCAAGUGUCCCUUCAAAACAUCGAAGGCCGUUUGACAUUCUGAAGUCCAUUCAUACUUAGAGGUCUUCUUGAUCAAAUUGGUCAAGGGGGCAGAAAUAGAGGCAUAGUCUUGUAUUAAAUCCCUAUACCAUCCCAUAUGGCCUAAUGUCCGUUGCAUGCCUUUAACUUCAGUAGGUGGUUUCAGAUUGACAAUGACUUCCACCUUUUCUGGAUCAGGUUCCUUGCCUUGUGCUGAGACAAUGUAUCCCAGCAACACUCCGCGAACCACAGCCAGAUAUAAUUUUUCUGGAUUAAGGAAAAUUCCUACUUGUCUACAACGUUUAAAACUCUCCCUAACGGCUGCUAAAUGAUCACUUGCUGAGGUUUGGGUACUAAAGUCAUCGAUAAAAACCGUCAUAGACUUAUGUAGCAAGUCCGAAAAUACAUAGGUCAUUGCCCUCUGAAAUGCAGAUGGAGCGUUACAAAGACCAAAAGACAUGUCUAAGUAGAUGAAGGUGCCCCAUGGUGUAGUGAAAGCGGUUUUAUGAUGAUCCUCAGGUGCUAUAGAAAUCUGGUUGUAGCCUGAGUACCCAUCCAUAAAGGUGUACAAUUCAUGGCCUGCUACCUCAUCGAGUAUAGUGUUUACAAAAGGCAAGGAAAAAUGGUCCUUUUGGGUAUAUUUGUUUAAGGUUCGAUAGUCAAUACAUAGUCGAAGUUUGCCAUUUUUCUUUUUCACCAAUACCAUUGGUGAAACCCAAUCAGUUAUUUCUACCGGUUUGAUGAACCCCGCUUGUAGUAGCCUCUCCAACUCAACCUUCACGAUCAAUUGCAAGUUGGGAUUCAUCCUCCUUUCCUUCUGCCUUACUGGUAUGGCCCCAAGAAUCAACGGAGUGGUGUGUUGAGCUAUCUUAGGGGGAAUUCCCUUUAAAUCUUUGUAUGACCAUGCAAAGAUAUCACGAUAUUCCAUUACCAAUGCCUUAUAUUUCAAGGCCUCGUCACUGGUCAAUUGUGAUCCAAUCUUGAUGGGUUUUGGAUCCUCGCCAUCCAAGGAAACAUCUAAACUUUUCCAAUCUGAAGGCUUGGCAUAGUCUAACUUGGUUGGUCCACGAUACCAGUCACUUGGGAUUGGUGGAUAGAUGGAUAAGUCGGUGCCUAUAUCUAAUCCUCGGUUGAUCUUCCUCACAUGGAGGGGUGGUAGAAGAUCCUUCUCCUUCAGCAAGGUGUCUAUAUCUUCGAAUUGUGUGCCAUCUAUGGUUAGGUGACACACAUCCUCAUAUAUAAUGUCAUCUAUCACUAUCGCGAGGCCUGGGUAGCCAUCUUCGAGUUCUCUCAUUGAUGCUUCGAUGUAACAAGUGGUAUGUUCUAGAUCUAAAUGAGGGUUGUCUUCUAACCAUUGAGCAAAUUGGCCAUCAUCCUUCCAAUCAUAUAGACCCGGUCCUAUGCAGCCUGACACGUGGUGGGUUAUAUCAAGCAACUGUGGUUCACUACCAGUCCCAGGCUUUUUCAUCUGAGCUUGUCUUUGGAUAUUCGGCGUGGUAACUGAAAUUGGCAUCUCAUUCCCCGUAGAUUGUGAUGGUUCAGAAUCAUCACUUAUUUUAAUCGAUUGGAUACGAACUUUAGUGAGAUUAUCGGAAGGGCCAUAAAAGAUGUGGGGCUUAUUACCUCCCUAGUCUACUUUUGCACUUGCUGCUGUUAACCAUGGCCGACCUAACAAGAGUGGAAAUGAACCCUUAUUCGAAUACAUUCGAAUAACAUGGAAAGUGAGAAGAUAUUCUUCACCACCCGUGGAUACCUUGUAAUCCUUAAUCAAACCGAGUGGUGCCUCAGGCCUCUGAUUAGUCAUAUUGAUGACAAAAGAUGAUGGUCCUGUGAGUUCGAGGCCUAGUUUUUCCAUUGUUUACAAAGGCAUGAUGUUUAGGCUGCUACCUCCAUCUACUAAGGCAUUGGGGAUAAUUUUAUCCAUGAUGGAGACUUCGAUCUCCACUGCCUUCACAUCCACGAGUUUCCUACUAGUUUGCAUCCUUGCAGCCACCUUGACCUUAGCUUUCCUACGGCAUUUGAUUGAGGUCUCGAGUUUUAGUAUUUUCCUAGCUAUUGGUGAAAUUUCCAAGAAUUGGGUAAUAGUGAUAUCUGCCUUGAUCCUACCCAAGUCCGCCCACAAGUCAUAUGCACCUAAUUCAGAUUGGGCCUGAGUCUUAGAUGGCUGGAUCAACUCUAAUUUGGGGAUUGCUGGGCCUUUCCAAUCACAAGUGUCAGGUUUGAUACUUGGUUCACCAUCAUGGUCUCUAAGUUGGAAGGGUAAGUCUCCUAUUAGUGGAUCAAAUUCUAAAGUCUCUUCACCUCUAUUGUUAAUUGUCUCUUUGGUCUUCCUAGCAAUGUCUUCCAACUCUGAAAGACGAGGCGGACUUUCAGUGAGGGAUUCCUCUUCCUCUAAUACUGAUGGCAUGUUGGCCGCUCUAGACCUAGUCAUAAUUGCUAAGGCAGGCUUCAUGGGUGGAUUCAACAUCUUGGGUUGGAGCAAUUCAUGCCUAAUCAAAUUUGACUCGGGAGGUAUUGGUUGGAUUACUAUCGAAGAAGUAGACGAUUGCCUAUCAAUCAUUCCGCUAUUGGUUUGGUUUAUAAACCUUGCAUCUUGGGAGCCUUGGCCAACAUUUGCUUGAUUUUGAAUAAAUGGCCCACGGUUUUGAUUUUGAUUCAUUGGAAGGAACCCUCUGUUGAUUUGGAGUCUAGUAGGAGGAUGAUGGUUCUGUCUAUUAUUAUUGUAGUCAUAAUAAAGGUUUGGGGGUUGCAAGGUAUUGUUGUGCGGUGGCUGCCUCUCUCCUCUACGAUUAUCAUAGCCUUGUUGCACAUAAUUUCCAGGUGGAGGUUGAAGAGGGAAUACCUUGUCUCGUUUCCUACACUUGUUUGUGGGGUGAUUGCCUCCACAGUUUCCACAAACAACUUGGCUCUCUAGCCAGCAACUGCGAGGUACAUGGUAAUUACCACAAAAGGCAUGGUAUUCUGGUCUCGGCCUAUAUUGACUACUAGGACCCUGGUUAGAAAAUUGGUUGAUUUGUUGCCCAUAAUUAGGAAGUUGGAUAAUUUGAGCUCUAUGAGGUGGUAUGUAUGAUUGUUGCACUUCGGACUGUUGAUUUUACGAUGGAUUCUCAUUGCAAAAUUGAAAUGUAUGCCCUGGCUGACCACAUCUAGUACACCACAAGCCUGAAGAGUGAUUCUCAGACUCGAUGGGAGGGAGAGGAGGGUUAAAGUUUUGGAUUCUAGCCAAUGCUGCCAUCUGGUCCGUCAUUAGCUUCAUUUGUUGUGAUAUCUGAUCUUGGAAGCCUUGUUGAACGGAUUGCAUCUCUCUUUUCAUUUCUUCUCUCCAAUUUUUCUCAGGGAAUGUAAGAACAGGGAGUGCGGCAGGCAACCUAGUAUCUAAGAGAGUUGGAUACUGCUGCAUGGAAUGAAGAGGCAUAGCUAUCGAUGGUUGGUUAGAAUUUAAGGAAGAUCCUGUGCCUUGGGCAUGAAUGGGGAUAAAGUUAGGGAUAUUCUGGUCUUCUUUCCUCCAUAUUCGAUCAUGUUCUUUGUUAAUUUGCUCUAUCACCCUAGCGGCCCUUUUAGCAUCAGCCAAGGUUUGUGGUCGGGAAUUCAAGAUUUCCCGUAUCGUGGUUUCUUUUGAAAAACCUUGGAUGAAGAAAUUUUUCAAAGUGUCAUCCGUAAGAAGGGUGCUUACAAACCUCGUCACUACCAAUUCAAACCAUCAAAUGUAGGAGGUAAUAUCCUCAUCUUUUCCCUGUCUAAAUGAGGAUAAUGCAGUCAAUGCUGCACUUUGAUCAACCUCAGGCCGAAAUUCCUCUAAGAAUGCUCGUUGGAGCAUGUCCCAAUCUACGAAGGUAUUGGCAGGGUGAUUUCGGUACCACUCAUACGCGCCCUCUUUUAGUGUGGUUGGAAACCAAACUAAGAAAUACCGUACAUCGGUUAUGAGGCAUGUGGUUAAGAUUUCGAUGAAUCGCUCAACAUGAGCAGAAGGAUAUUCAUCCCUUGUACCUUUAAAUAAAGGUAGAUGCGGGGGAAUAGAAGCAAUUGGUAAGCCACCUAGCACUACAAUAGGUAAUCUCCAUGGUUGGACCAGGGGGUUGAUAGGUAUUCCUAGGAGACCUCCCCCACCCGUAGAUGCACCUCCAGAAGCCAUUGGGAUUAAAAGAUUCCUUGGUCUAGGUUGAUUUGGCGAGAGGAUACUAAUUGGGUUUUCUAAUUCCCUAGAAUAGUUAGUUGUUGAAUUGUGGGUCAACUCGGAUUGAUCUAAUAUAACCUCAAUGAAGUCGCCAAUUGGAUUGUCUAAGUCUUCAGAAAAUUCAAGUUGAUUGUCAAGAUGCAAAGGUUCCCUAAGUUUUGAAGGAAUUCCCUGAGGUUGAUUUGGUUUUCCUAAGGGUGGUGUUAAAACCAGUUUUUGGGACCUAGUUGCUUUAUGCAUCUAAUUUCACAAGGCCUUAAGGGUGAACAUUCUAAAGAUUGAUUUCAUCGCUUCUUACCUAAGUGGUUGGUCACAUCAGAAGAGAAGGAAGGACCGACCUUGUCCCAUACCCGUUCACCUAGCUCUUCCUCUUCGGCUAAGGGGCUCACUGCCUUCUGGCGUGGAAGGGCCUCAACCUUUCACCCCUUAGCUUCUUAAAUGACUUAAUGCCCAAGAUGUUAGGGACAUAGUCUUUAGACCUUUCUAGAGACAAGUUUCUAGAACUUUCUAGAAAGAAGUCUCUAGAAACUUCCAAAAGAUUCCUUGAAUAUUCUCUUAGAAUAUUCUUUAAAGAUUUCCUAAAGAUUCUUUGAAGAUUCCCUAAAGAUUCCCUUAGAAGGCUCUAGAAGAUUCUUAGAAUAUUCUAAUAGAUUCUAGGAAGUUACUUGAGAAGCUUCCUAGCUCUUGGGUAGUUGCUCAAGAAGCUUCAUAGUUCUUGGGAAGCUUCUUGAUGCGCUUCCUUAGAACCAUAGGCCAGUAGUAUAUAUAGGAGUCGAGGCUGAAGAGUUCUUCAGUCUCGACAACACAUCUCUUGAAGCUCUAGCUCAAUUCUCUUGGCGUUGCUCUUGUACUCAUCUGAUAAUCUAAUUCUUGUCAUUUUUUCUUGAACUUCUUGUUUAGAUUUCUUGUUUGUAUUUUUGGUCCGUGACAGUUUGUCGAGACUACCUUUAUCUUAGUAUCAGAGCUGAAUCCUUCUUGUUUGAGAGCGGAUUACCCCUCUUCUUGAAGGUAUUCUAGCGCUUUAGAGGUUGCGGAUUACCUUCCUAUAAACUGAUAUUUUCUCAAUCACAAUAUCAGAGCUUAGUUCUUUGAGGCAGAGAGUGGACUACCCCUUUCCUUGGAGAUACUUGAGCGUUUUAAGGGUUGCAGAUUACCCUCUCUUGGACUGAUAUUAUUCCCUUCUUUUUGUUUAGCAUAGCUAGUGAAAAAGACUGUUAACAUCGAUUUCAGAGCUUUGUCUUCUUGAUAGAGUGCGGAUUACCCCUCUUCUCGAAAGCAUUGAGGCAUUUUUAGAGGUUGCGGAUUACCCUCCUCUAAAACUGAAAUCGUUUAGUGUUUUUUUUUCUUUUCUCCGAGUAGGUUUUAGUGACAAGUAGUGCUACAAUUUUCUCCAAGAGACUUAGCAAUUUCUUCUUCUCUCAAAAUUUUAAUCCAUCUAUUCUCUAAAUAUGGAAGUAGACCAGGUCAUAGAUAGUGCAUCUCCACAAGUAGACAAUAGAGUAGCAACUCUUGCAGAUCUUCAAGCUCUUAUGAAUAGUGUAUGAAAGGAGAUUGCAUUUCUUCGCAAUCCAAGUAAAGAACCUCAAAUUGAUCUAGUGACCGAAGAAACUAGACGCAAAAUUCAUAGCCUACAACAAGAGAUUAUUCGACUGAGAGAAGUAAGACAUGUGUCACAUACGACCCCUAUGGAUACUUCAAGGAUUAGUACGAAAGAACCAAAAGCGAGUAUGCCAGACAAGUUUGACGGAACAAGAGCCAACUUCCGAGGUUUUGUGCAACAAGUACGGCUUUACCUACGCCUAUACCCUUCUCGUUAUCCGAAUGGAUUUACCCAGGUUGCUUUCAUAGGUACUCUUCUAUCAGGAAAUGCUCGCUCUUGGUUUGCUCCACUAUUGGAGAAGGAUUCUCCAAUAUUGUACGACCUAGAGGCUUUCAUAGAGAGACUUACUGCUGCGUUUGGAGAUAGCGAUCGAGAAAGAGGGGUUGAAAGAAAGAUACAAAAUCUGCGACAAGGAUCACGUUCUGCUGCAAUCUAUGCUGCAGAAUUUCAACAGCUUACAUGUGAUCUUGAUUGGAAUGAUAAGGCGUUCAUGACACGAUUUCGAUAUGGACUGAGAGAUGAUGUCAAGAACUUAUUGAUCACCAUGCCUAAGGCGGAUACUUUAGAAGAACUUAUAUCUCACGCAAUUAUUUGUGACAACCGCCUCUUUGAAUUACGACAAGAAAGACGAUCAAGCUGGAGAAAUGAUGGAGCAUUUGCUACAUUUUCAAAAGGUCCAGAGAAUCACUCCACAGAUCCUGAACCCAUGCAAAUUGAUGCGGUACGUUUCAAACCCCUCACAGCUGAGGAAAGGAAGCGACGGUUUGAACAAAACUUGUGUUUAUAUUGCGGAGAAGCGGGCCAUAAAGCUGUAGAUUGUCGGAAGAAAUAGAAGCCUCAAACAACAAGACUCAGGAGUACAAGCAUGCAGGAAAACAAGGACGCCCAGCCACAAUAGGGACCGUGCGGCUGGACAUCUCAACAUCCAAAAUUAAUCAAGGUCCCUUUCUCUCAGCUCAACCUUCAGAUUGUUUUAUGGUACCUUUACAUCUGGGUAUUCAAGAACUACAAGUCGAUGCUUUAUUAGACUCGGAAGCAUCCGCUUGCUUUAUAGAUGAAGAGUUUGCCAAGCUUCACAAUAUUUCUCUUGUAAAGAAACUUAAGCCUAUCCAUGUAGAAGUCAUAGACGGACGACCAUUGUCUUCGGGCAAUGUUAUCCAUGAAACUAAACCAUUGAAGGUACGUCUUGAAAACCAUGAGAGCAAUAUUGUGUUUAAUGUUAUCAAGACCCCUUCAUGUCCUAUCAUUUUGGGAGUAUCUUGGCUUGAUAGAUAUAAUCCAUUGAUAGAUUGGAAGUUGCGAAAAGUGACAUUUCCAACAAACUCCUUGAAGGUGGAAUCUGCCAAGACAAUGUCUAGAAACAAAUCCUUGUUUAUAGGUGCAAGGGCUUUCAUGAAGGAAGCCAAGCAAAAUACACCUCUUGUCAUCUUCGCAACUCCGACUCGAGAAGAUGCAACUCCGACUUUGGUUAUUCCAAAGCAGUAUGAAGAAUUCAAAGAUGUCUUUGAAAAGAAGAAUGCUGAUAUGCUGCCAGAGCAUCGACCCUAUGACUGUGCCAUUGAAUUGCAAGAAGGAGCACAACCACCUUUUGGACCAAUCUACAAUUUGUGGCAGACGGAGUUGACUGAGUUGCGGAAGUACAUUCACGAGAAUCUAGCCAAGAACUUCAUCCGUCAUUCGAAGUCGCCAGCUGGGGCACCAAUCUUAUUUGUGAAGAAGAAGGAUGGCUCACUACGGAUGUGCGUGGACUAUCGAGGUCUCAACAAGGUGACAAAAAAAAAUUGCUACCCACUGCCUUUGUCCCUGGUCUUCAAGAACAACUUGGGCGUGCAAGGAUCUUUACAAAGAUUGACCUAAGGAGAGUUUACAACCUUGUGCGAAUUAAAGAAGGAGAUGAAUUGAAGACAGCGUUCCGAACAAGGUAUGGCCAUUUUGAAUACAAUGUCAUGCCAUUUGGUCUUACUAAUGCUCCAGCGGUCUUUCAACACAUGAUGAAUGACAUCUUUCGAGAGCAUCUAGACGAUUUUGUUGUCAUCUAUCUAAAUGAUAUUUUGAUAUUUUCUAAGAACGAGGAAGAACAUGAGAAGCACGUUCGUCUGGUACUCAAAAAACUACGGGAGCGAGGACUCUAUGCCAAAUUGGAGAAGUACUUAUUUCACCAAACUGAGAUAGAGUUUUUGGGAUUCAUCGCGACUACGGAAGGCUUGAAGAUGGAUCCAAAGAAGGUGGAAGCAAUCAUGUCUUGGAAAGUUCCGAAGACGGUUAGGGACGUACAAUGUUUUCUUGGAUUUGCUAACUACUAUCGGAUCUUUAUCAAGAAUUAUUCUCAAGUUGCUACCCCCCUCACUCAGUUAACGUGUAAAGACAAGCUCGAAUGGGGAUCUAUCGUAGAAAAAGCAUUUCAAGAUUUGAAGAUGGUAUUUACUACAGCUCCAAUCUUGGUACAUCCGGACUUUACAAAGGCCUUUUAUUUGGAGACAGAUGCUUCGGAUUUUGCUUUGGGAGCUGUACUUUCACAGAUGGGCGUAGAUGAGAAGCUCCAUCCAGUUGCGUUCUAUUCUCGAAAAUUCUCUGCUGCUGAGAUCAACUAUGAGAUCCACGAUAAGGAACUCCUUGCUAUAAUAGAUUCUUUCUAAGAGUGGCGCCAUUUUCUCGAAGGAACUGCACAUCCAGUGACUGUAUAUACGGAUCACAAGAAUUUGGAGUAUUUUAUGUCGGCUUGGGUUUUGAAUCGGCGUCAAGCUCGGUGGAGUAUGUCGCUAUCCAGGUUCGACUUUGUUAUUACUUAUCGGCCUGGGAAGCAACAAGGGUUGUCCGAUGCAUUCUCAAGGAGAUCAUAUCUCGCGCCAAAGGCUGGAGAUGCAGCAUUUGAUCAACAGUGCACGACAUUGUUGAAGCCAGAGAAAUUUCGGCUCAACGCAGCUAUUGUACCAAUUGAUGCUGACUUCCUCGACCAGGUACGGGCCGCAACCAUUGAAGAUUCUCUAGCCCUUGAUAUCAAGCAACAUGCUAGUGAUGAUAAAUUCAAGAUGGAAGGAGAUCUAGUAUAUUUCGAAGAGCGGUUGUAUAUCCCAAAAGGGCCAACACGACUCCGAGUUCUUCAAUCUCAUCAUGACUUUCCAGCUGCGGGACAUUUUGGAUUCAAUAAGACCUUGGAACUUAUUUCCUGCGAUUUCUGGUAGCUUCAAAUGUGGAAGGAUGUGAAAGAUUUUGUUGUAUCUUGUGACAUUUGUUCAAGAUCCAAAAAUCCUCAACAUCGGCCUUAUGGACUUCUACAGCCAUUGCCUAUUCCGCGCCGACCAUGGUCUUCGGUUUCCAUGGACUUUAUUACGGAUCUACUACCAUCGAAUUCAUUUGACAGUAUUUUUGUUGUCGUAGACCGGCUUACAAAGAUGGUGCAUUUUGUCCCUUGCAAGAAGACAUCGUCAAGCGAAGACAAUGCAAGACUCUUUCUUGAUAAUGCGUAUCGAUAUCAUGGUCUACCAGAUGAUAUCGUAUCGGAUCGAGGAACCUAGUUUGUAUCAAAGUUUUGGAAAUCUCUUUUUGAAAUAUUGAAGGUGGAUAUCAAGCUUUUUUCGGCAUUUCAUCCUGAAACGGACGGCCAAACAGAACGGGUGAAUCAAGUUUUAGAGCAAUAUUUACGUUGCACCAUCAACUAUCAAUAAGAUGAUUGGGUCGCAUAUCUAUCGCUAGCCGAGUUCGCAUAUAACAACACCCUUCAUGCGUCAACUCAACAAACGCCAUUCUUUUCUAAUUAUGGAUACCAUUCGAAGCUUGACUUAUGGAGUUCGUCAACGAUUAACAAUCCGGCAGCUGAAGGAUUGGUGAAGGAGCUUUCGCAGCUUCAAACUACAUUGAAGCUUCAAUUGCAAACUACCCAAGAAUCUUACAAGGCGUCCGUGGAAAAAUUUCGGAAUUAGGCACUUAAAUUCACGAUUGGAGACAAAGUUUGGCUGCUUCGAUGAAAUAUUAAGACCAAGCGGUCAUGUGACAAAUUGGACUAUCGGAGAUUGGGACCAUUUAUUAUCUAGAAGCAGAUUAAUCCUGUAGCGUAUCGUCUGGAGUUACCGGCUACUAUGAAGAUAUAUCCUGUCUUUCAUGUUUCUUUGUUGGAGCCUUAUCGAGAAUCGUCUUUUCCUGGAAGAGUACAAUGUCCACCACCUAGCAUAGAAAUAGAGAACCACGAAGAAUACGAGGUGGAAAAGGUCCUUGAUUCACGGCAAAGAUGGGGUAAAUUAGAAUACUUUGUGCAUUGGAGCGGUUACGAUAUUAAUGAACGAACAUGGGAGCCGGCCAAAAAUCUCGCGAAUGCGCCGCAAAAGGUACAGGAGUUUCAUCGACGAUAUCCUGAGAAACCCAAGCCGGUUCGACGAUAGCUUCUUACUGAAGCUUGCUCAUCCAGAAAACAGAAAAGAGGACAGAGCACCACCAAAAUCCAUAGUUGAUGUAGUCAUUCUCUCCAAGAUAGCGUAGAACUUUGUUAGUAGCCCAAGUUUGUUCUUAUUGUUUUAGCUUUUGAAUAUGGAUAGCCAAGAUACUACACUUGUCAUGUCAUCUCAAGCAACUAGCUCACGAAGACGACCGCGAGAUGAAGAACCGCUUGCACCACGACGACGUCGAAGGAUUCCGAGCAACAGAUCGCUGGUGAUUGUAUUUGAGGUCGAGCCUGCCUACAAUGGUCAGCCAGAAGGAUUGUUUGCAGGACAAUUUCACAAUGAAGACACGGAGAUUCAUGCUUGGUCAGAAGUUGAAGGCGUGGGCCACUACCGUUGGCUUCAAGGACCAUUGAAUCACUUGCCUCGUGAACAACAAUUGGAGUUCAUAGCAGAGGUUAUGCGACAGAUCUUCAUUUUCUUGCGUUGGUAUUGACUGACGAUAACAUUGCUUCUCGGAGACCUCGAAGCUAAAGGAUGAGGUGAUGUUAGGGACAUAGUCCUUAGACCUUUUUAGAGACAAGUUUCUAGAACUUUCUAGAAAGAAGUCUCUAGAAACUUCCAAAAGAUUCCUUGAAUAUUCUCUUAGAAUAUUCUUUAAAGAUUUCCUAAAGAUUCUUUGAAGAUUCCCUAAAGAUUCCCUUAGAAGGCUCUAGAAGAUUCUUAGAAUAUUCUAAUAGAUUCUAGGAAGUUACUUGAGAAGCUUCCUAGCUCUUGGGUAGUUGCUCAAGAAGCUUCAUAGUUCUUGGGAAGCUUCUUGAUGCGCUUCCUUAGAACCAUAGGCCAGUAGUAUAUAUAAGAGUCGAGGCUGAAGAGUUCUUCAGUCUCGACAACACAUCUCUUGAAGCUCUAGCUCAAUUCUCUUGGCGUUGCUCUUGUACUCAUCUGAUAAUCUAGUUCUUGUCAUUUUUUCUUGAACUUCUUGUUUAGAUUUCUUGUUUGUAUUUUUAGUCCCUGACACAAGGAUAGAAGAGGGUCAUUAGGAAGUCUGGGGCUGACUUUUCUAAUGUCGGGCAAAGCCACACUCAACUUCUACCCCCCCACUCCUUUGCGUAUGAAUUCACUUGUCCUAUCUUACUUCUUUUAGAGUUUCCCUUAGGUAAGGUUCUAACUUUGAUAAGAUGGUUCGAAGGUUUAGACUUUUAAAUGGAGUCGGUUGUCCUUAGGUGAGGAUGUCAGUUUCCGUGGCUACACAAACCUUCGAGGUUUAUCCAUCCCUGCUUCAAGAAGCCGGCUAAAAGAUUUCGUUCUACAACUAAAUCGCACCUAAUUAAUCGUGCCUAACUAAUCCUAGUUGAUUGUACCCACUCAACCCACAUCACAUGCAUUCAAUCCAAAGAUCUUAUUAUGAUGAUAAUUUGAGGGAAAUUAUGAAGGUUUUAAUUGCCGAAGAUACCUGCAAGCCCACUUAGGUGUUCAAACUGCCGCAAUUAGCAGGAAACAAGCAAACAGCUACACAAUUGAGAAGAGCUUCCACGGAAAUCACUCCGUUGAAUUCCCUUCCCAAAUUGGUGCCAUACGAUACAGAUCCCACUGUGGGGCUACCCAAUCAUUAACUUAAUGGAAGGUGAAUUAUCCUUGGUAUCCAUUGGUAUCCCCCAUAGGUAUCAGCCUGGUAUCCCCCUUUUUCACCUUCCAAGAGCUAAGUUGGGCAUUAUCCACUAGGAAGAAAACGACACAAGACGGAACAAAAAACAAUUAAAAUUAUAAUUAUGUGAUCUACUCACCGUGAAGAGGAACGUACCUGGCUGCAACGCCAGCCAACCUGGCACAGUUAGUCGAAGUCUACACCAUAUUAUUCGAACCCUACUCGAUCCUACUCGAUCCUAUUGGCCAAUUUGUGAUUUAUUAACUUAAUUAUAGAGGGAAGAACUUACCUUAAGCAUCUCCAGCCAUCCCACCAUUAGGUAAAAAUUGUUCAUGAUAAUUAAUAUAAUUGGCCAAGUCUAAUCCGAUUGCGAGCCUUAGGCUGAGAUUCGUGAUUCAAGGUACGAAUUCCUUGAAUUUUAGUGGGGUUCGAUACUUAAUAUUAGGUUAAAUAACUAGGUCUAAUCGAAAUUCUUAAGUCGUCCUACUGCCAUAAGUUUAGGUUAAGUGAGCCUACCUCAUGCAGUGCUCCUUCCAUCAGGACCCUCACAUCUUGGGCACGUCCAAGCUCCACACCUCCAAGCCUCCUUUCAACCUGUUAAGAAUGAUAAUUACCUUCCAAACAACACCACAAUGUAAUAGUCCGCUCCCGGCAAACGCACCAAAAUAUCAACAGAAAUUAACCCCCCUUAGUGAAGAGGCUAAUUCUACUCAUAAGAUCCUAAUUAUAGUCCAACCUUGGAAUUUUAUAACUUAUGUUGAUUUCCUAGUUAAUUGCUUAAUUCAUUAAUCUAAUUUCUAUCUUUAUCCUUAUGUUUAUCUUGAUUUUUUUAUUUAUUUUUAUUUUUAUUUUUAUUUUUUUUGUAGUUUUUUUUACUUAAAUCCUUCACCAUUCUUGAACCCUGGAAUUACCCAAUUGUGUCGCUUAAUUAUCAUUUAAUUAUUAUUUAAAUAUUUUUUAGUUUAUUUUAUUUAUUAUUUUUUUUUAAAUUCAUUUUUUUUUUAUUUUUAUUUUAUUAUUAUUAUUAUUUUUUUUUAUUUUAAUUUUUGGAUUAACCUUCCAACUUCAGUUGACUAUAUCCUUGCGAGUUUACGUCCGAAUUUAAAGUUUUUUACGUCUAAUGUUAUUAAAUUCAAUAAUCAACUUGAUGGGACAGCAUGCCUUCACUUCAUGCCUCAUGUUCAAUGUCAACUAGACUGUGAGCACUCAACUUCCAAGGAGGAUACAUUCAGAUUCAAGACCAUACAACUACCAAGAUUGCAUGGAAUUCAUGACUUGUCACGCAAGGGGAGAUCCAAGGAUUUUGACCUAAUCCUAAGCAAUUUGGCCAGCGCUUCCGCGUCAAUCGGAAAUUCCGGUUCUGGCACUACAACUCCUAGCAGCUCAACUGUGCAUCACCAA
Molecule: long non-coding RNA, 16836 nt
Filed under: Physcomitrium patens
Lineage: Eukaryota; Viridiplantae; Streptophyta; Bryopsida; Funariales; Funariaceae
Description: long non-coding RNA (PPAT_LNC000268)
Source: RNAcentral